This 20-nucleotide non-coding RNA is filed under the name Arabidopsis thaliana (thale cress). The record is from RNAcentral. Lineage: Eukaryota; Viridiplantae; Streptophyta; Magnoliopsida; Brassicales; Brassicaceae.
ACCACGAGGCGCUGUCUACG